CAGUAAAAUCUGAACAGAGCAGAUCUCAAGCUGGAAAACAAAAAAAGGUUCAGGUAGACAAUGAUAAAGAGAUGAACUUCGCAGCAACAAAAUCUCCUCUUCGCAGCUACAUUUGCAGACGAAAGAUUAUUGAAGUUUGAGCUCAGCUGUUGGUUUUACUACCACCACCAACCACUUCGUUGGAAGCCUUUAUCGCAUCAGCAGUCAUAAGAGCAACCAUUGCCCUGUGAAUUGCCACCUCUGCCAUAGAAUGCAAGUUGUUAGCCCUGUGUCUCUUAAACUUAGCUGUGUUACGUACACGGAGAGAAGCAUUUUGUGCUUCGCGCAGUCUAAACUCCUCAUCCAAUUGCUGCGGCACGCAGUCUGAACCAUCCAAUUGUUCAACCCCAUGCUUCUGAGGGCAAUCCGGUGCGUACUGCCUGUGACCUGGUAAGUCAUGAUUGAUCAUUCGAACUCCGUUUCUUUUUUCUGACACAGGCAUUCUCUGACUGUUAGAACCUGACGGCUGUGAACCAUUAUUAUACAUAAAUGACCCAUGUUUCUUGGACUUGCUCCUGUGAAGUUUCUGCAUAUGAUUUCUGUAGUAUGCAUCAUUGCUCAUAGAAUAAUAUUUCAUGCUGGCAGCAUCUUGUGGGGAGAAUACUCUAGGUGACGUCAGAGGCAAUGGAGAAUCAUCCAAAGAAUCAUAACUAUGGCCUGGGUAUACAAACCUUUCAUCAGUAAAUGCCAGGCCAUUUGGUCUUCUACCUGAGUGUGGAAGCCAUCAUGAUAUCUAAAACGGUUUGUAUGCCCAGAGACUGA
Molecule: long non-coding RNA, 801 nt
Filed under: Medicago truncatula (barrel medic)
Lineage: Eukaryota; Viridiplantae; Streptophyta; Magnoliopsida; Fabales; Fabaceae
Description: lncRNA gene252
Source: RNAcentral